This 793-nucleotide long non-coding RNA is filed under the name Homo sapiens (human). RNAcentral's name for it is "HSALNT0228721". Lineage: Eukaryota; Metazoa; Chordata; Mammalia; Primates; Hominidae. The record is from RNAcentral.
CAAAUGAGGUCUGGUUUAAAGAAUGAGAAGUGUGACCAGGCAUGAGCCACCACGCCAGGCUGGUAGCAGUCUUUCCUAGAAUGUGGAUGCCUUGGAAAACAGGGGCUCUGCCUUGUUUCCCUAGAACCUAGAAUGGCAUCUGGCACACAGCAGAUGCUACAUCUAUUGUAAAUGAAUGAAUGAAAGAAGUGUCCUUGCAGCCACACUGGCAGCCGUAACAUAGUGGUUAUAAAUCUAGACUCUGGAGUCUCAAGUGCAAAUGUCAUUGGCCUCUCCUCCAGCCUCCUCAAGGGGCACUCAAUGACUGGAAGCGCCCUGAUAUGACUGUGGUUGGACUGACAUGACUGCCAGAUGGUGGGACUUGGUCUGGAGCAGAGACUACUUGGAAUGGUAGAGGCAAAACUCAACAGCCCCUGGAGCUGCGCUUGUGGUGGAGCUGGACCCUGAUUUUAGCUGGACCUUGUUUUUAGAGACAGGGUUUCCUUCUGCAGUCUCAAUCUCCUAGCCUUGAUUGAUCCUCCUGCCUUGGCCUCCCAAAGUGCUGGGACUACAGGUGCAUGCAACCACACCUGGCUAAUUUUCUUCUCUUCUUUCUUUUUUUUUUUUUUUUUGAUGGAGUCUUGUUCUGUUGCCCAGGCUGGAGUGCAAUGGUGCCAUCUCGGCUCACUGCAACCUCUGCCUCCCGGGUUCAAUCCAUUCUCCUGCCUCAGCCUCCCAAGUAGCUGGGACUACAGGUGUGUGCCACCGUGCCUGGCUAAUUUUUGUAUUUUUAGUAGGGAUGAGACUUCACCAU